GAUGAACGCUGGCGGCGUGCUUAACACAUGCAAGUCGAACGGAAAGGCCCAAGCUUGCUUGGGUACUCGAGUGGCGAACGGGUGAGUAACACGUGGGUGAUCUGCCCUGCACUUCGGGAUAAGCCUGGGAAACUGGGUCUAAUACCGGAUAGGACCACUUCUUGGAUGUUGUGGUGGAAAGUUUUUUCGGUGUGGGAUGAGCUCGCGGCCUAUCAGCUUGUUGGUGGGGUAAUGGCCUACCAAGGCGUCGACGGGUAGCCGGCCUGAGAGGGUGUACGGCCACAUUGGGACUGAGAUACGGCCCAGACUCCUACGGGAGGCAGCAGUGGGGAAUAUUGCACAAUGGGCGCAAGCCUGAUGCAGCGACGCCGCGUGGGGGAUGACGGCCUUCGGGUUGAGAACUCCUUUCGCUAGGGACGAAGCGUUUUGUGACGGUACCUGGAGAAGAAGCACCGGCUAACUACGUG
This 467-nucleotide ribosomal RNA is filed under the name uncultured bacterium. Its description in RNAcentral is "partial 16S ribosomal RNA". It matches the Rfam family "Bacterial small subunit ribosomal RNA", at positions 28 to 507 of the family's 1533-position model. The record is from RNAcentral.